Molecule: ribosomal RNA, 468 nt
Filed under: uncultured bacterium
Lineage: Bacteria
Description: partial 16S ribosomal RNA
Rfam family: Bacterial small subunit ribosomal RNA
Source: RNAcentral
GACGAACGCUGGCGGCGUGCUUAACACAUGCAAGUCGAACGGAAAGGCCCUGCUUUUGUGGGGUGCUCGAGUGGCGAACGGGUGAGUAACACGUGAGUAACCUGCCCUUGACUUUGGGAUAACUUCAGGAAACAGGGGCUAAUACCGGAUAGGAGCUCCUGCUGAAUGGUGGGGGUGGGAAAGUUUCGGUGGUUGGGGAUGGACUCGCGGCUUAUCGGCUUGUUGGUGGGGUAGUGGCUUACCAAGGCUUUGACGGGUAGCCUGCCUGAGAGGGUGACCGGCCACAUUGGGACUGAGAUACGGCCCAGACUCCUACGGGAGGCAGCAGUGGGGAAUAUUGCACAAUGGGCGGAAGCCUGAUGCAGCAACGCCGCGUGCGGGAUGACGUCCUUCGGGUUGUAAACCGCUUUCGCCUGUGACGAAGCGUGAGUGACGGUAAUGGGUAAAGAAGCACCGGCUAACUACGUG